RNAcentral lists this ribosomal RNA (431 nucleotides) under uncultured bacterium. RNAcentral's name for it is "partial 16S ribosomal RNA". It matches the Rfam family "Bacterial small subunit ribosomal RNA", at positions 29 to 507 of the family's 1533-position model. The record is from RNAcentral.
AACGAACGCUGGCGGCAGGCUUAACACAUGCAAGUCGAACGCCCCGCAAGGGGAGUGGCAGACGGGUGAGUAACGCGUGGGAAUCUACCCUGAACUGCGGGAUAGCUCCGGGAAACUGGAAUUAAUACCGCAUGUGCCCUGAGGGGCAAAGAUUUAUCGGUUCAGGAUGAGCCCGCGUCCGAUUAGCUAGUUGGUGGGGUAAAGGCCUACCAAGGCGACGAUCGGUAGCUGGUCUAAGAGGAUGAUCAGCCACAUUGGGACUGAGACACGGCCCAAACUCCUACGGGAGGCAGCAGUGGGGAAUAUUGGACAGUGGGCGCAAGCCUGAUCCAGCCAUGCCGCGUGAGUGAUGAAGGCCCUAGGGUUGUAAAGCUCUUUCACCGGGGACGAUAAUGACGGUACCCGGAGAAGAAGCCCCGGCUAACUUCGUG